AAGACACUAGUAUAAUCAGAUAUUACAUUGCCUUGUCGAGGCAAAAUUGUGGGUUAAACUCCCGCGUGCCUUG
Molecule: transfer RNA, 73 nt
Filed under: Sphaeramia orbicularis (orbiculate cardinalfish)
Lineage: Eukaryota; Metazoa; Chordata; Actinopteri; Kurtiformes; Apogonidae
Description: tRNA-Asp
Rfam family: tRNA
About the family: Transfer RNA (tRNA) molecules are approximately 80 nucleotides in length. Their secondary structure includes four short double-helical elements and three loops (D, anti-codon, and T loops).
Source: RNAcentral